CAGCCCAGAGCCUGAAUCAGUAUGUGUGUUAGUGGAAGCGUCUGGAAAGGCGCGCGAUACAGGGUGACAGCCCCGUACACAAAAAUGCACAUGCUGUGAGCUCGAUGAGUAGGGCGGGACACGUGGUAUCCUGUCUGAAUAUGGGGGGACCAUCCUCCAAGGCUAAAUACUCCUGACUGACCGAUAGUGAACCAGUACCGUGAGGGAAAGGCGAAAAGAACCCCGGCGAGGGGAGUGAAAAAGAACCUGAAACCGUGUACGUACAAGCAGUGGGAGCACGCUUAGGCGUGUGACUGCGUACCUUUUGUAUAAUGGGUCAGCGACUUAUAUUCUGUAGCAAGGUUAACCGAAUAGGGGAGCCGAAGGGAAACCGAGUCUUAACUGGGCGUUAAGUUGCAGGGUAUAGACCCGAAACCCGGUGAUCUAGCCAUGGGCAGGUUGAAGGUUGGGUAACACUAACUGGAGGACCGAACCGACUAAUGUUGAAAAAUUAGCGGAUGACUUGUGGCUGGGGGUGAAAGGCCAAUCAAACCGGGAGAUAGCUGGUUCUCCCCGAAAGCUAUUUAGGUAGCGCCUCGUGAAUUCAUCUCCGGGGGUAGAGCACUGUUUCGGCAAGGGGGUCAUCCCGACUUACCAACCCGAUGCAAACUGCGAAUACCGGAGAAUGUUAUCACGGGAGACACACGGCGGGUGCUAACGUCCGUCGUGAAGAGGGAAACAACCCAGACCGCCAGCUAAGGUCCCAAAGUCAUGGUUAAGUGGGAAACGAUGUGGGAAGGCCCAGACAGCCAGGAUGUUGGCUUAGAAGCAGCCAUCAUUUAAAGAAAGCGUAAUAGCUCACUGGUCGAGUCGGCCUGCGCGGAAGAUGUAACGGGGCUAAACCAUGCACCGAAGCUGCGGCAGCGACACUAUGUGUUGUUGGGUAGGGGAGCGUUCUGUAAGCCUGUGAAGGUGUGCUGUGAGGCAUGCUGGAGGUAUCAGAAGUGCGAAUGCUGACAUAAGUAACGAUAAAGCGGGUGAAAAGCCCGCUCGCCGGAAGACCAAGGGUUCCUGUCCAACGUUAAUCGGGGCAGGGUGAGUCGACCCCUAAGGCGAGGCCGAAAGGCGUAGUCGAUGGGAAACAGGUUAAUAUUCCUGUACUUGGUGUUACUGCGAAGGGGGGACGGAGAAGGCUAUGUUGGCCGGGCGACGGUUGUCCCGGUUUAAGCGUGUAGGCUGGUUUUCCAGGCAAAUCCGGAAAAUCAAGGCUGAGGCGUGAUGACGAGGCACUACGGUGCUGAAGCAACAAAUGCCCUGCUUCCAGGAAAAGCCUCUAAGCAUCAGGUAACAUCAAAUCGUACCCCAAACCGACACAGGUGGUCAGGUAGAGAAUACCAAGGCGCUUGAGAGAACUCGGGUGAAGGAACUAGGCAAAAUGGUGCCGUAACUUCGGGAGAAGGCACGCUGAUAUGUAGGUGAGGUCCCUCGCGGAUGGAGCUGAAAUCAGUCGAAGAUACCAGCUGGCUGCAACUGUUUAUUAAAAACACAGCACUGUGCAAACACGAAAGUGGACGUAUACGGUGUGACGCCUGCCCGGUGCCGGAAGGUUAAUUGAUGGGGUCAGCGCAAGCGAAGCUCUUGAUCGAAGCCCCGGUAAACGGCGGCCGUAACUAUAACGGUCCUAAGGUAGCGAAAUUCCUUGUCGGGUAAGUUCCGACCUGCACGAAUGGCGUAAUGAUGGCCAGGCUGUCUCCACCCGAGACUCAGUGAAAUUGAACUCGCUGUGAAGAUGCAGUGUACCCGCGGCAAGACGGAAAGACCCCGUGAACCUUUACUAUAGCUUGACACUGAACAUUGAGCCUUGAUG
This 1846-nucleotide ribosomal RNA is filed under the name Escherichia coli. RNAcentral describes it as "partial 23S ribosomal RNA". It matches the Rfam family "Bacterial large subunit ribosomal RNA", at positions 293 to 2136 of the family's 2925-position model. Lineage: Bacteria; Pseudomonadati; Pseudomonadota; Gammaproteobacteria; Enterobacterales; Enterobacteriaceae. The record is from RNAcentral.